GACGAACGCUGUCGGCGUGCUUAACACAUGCAAGUCGAACGAAGUGGCGCACGGGUGAGUAACGCGUAAUCAACCUGCCCUUCAGAGGGGGACAACAGUUGGACACGACUGCUACUACCGCAUACUGAAGGAGGGGAUUGCGUCUGAGUAGCUAGUGGGAGGGGUAAAGGCCCACCAAGGCGAUGAUCAGUAGCCGGUCUGAGAGGAUGAACGGCCACAUUGGGACUGAGACACGGCCCAGACUCCUACGGGAGGCAGCAGUGGGGAAUCGUCCGCAAUGGACGAAAGUCUGACGGAGCAACGCCGCGUGAGUGAUGACGUCCUUCGGGUGGUAAAGCUCUGUUAAUCGGGACGCGGGACCGGAAUAGAAAGCCACGGCUAACUACGUGCCAGCAGGCGCGGUAAUAC
This 408-nucleotide ribosomal RNA is filed under the name uncultured bacterium. Its description in RNAcentral is "partial 16S ribosomal RNA". It matches the Rfam family "Bacterial small subunit ribosomal RNA", at positions 28 to 526 of the family's 1533-position model. The record is from RNAcentral.